UACGUAGGGUGCAAGCGUUGUCCGGAAUUAUUGGGCGUAAAGAGCUCGUAGGCGGCUUGUCACGUCGACUGUGAAAACCCGGGGCUCAACUCCGGGCCUGCAGUCGAUACGGGCUGGCUUGAGUGCGGUAGGGGAGACUGGAAUUCCUGGUGUAGUGGUGAAAUGCGCAGAUAUCAGGAGGAACACCCAUGGCGAAGGCAGCACUCUGGGCUGGAAUUGACGCUGAGGAGCGAAAGCAUGGGUAGCGAACAGG
RNAcentral lists this ribosomal RNA (253 nucleotides) under uncultured bacterium. RNAcentral describes it as "partial 16S ribosomal RNA". It matches the Rfam family "Bacterial small subunit ribosomal RNA", at positions 524 to 776 of the family's 1533-position model. The record is from RNAcentral.